This 670-nucleotide ribosomal RNA is filed under the name uncultured beta proteobacterium. RNAcentral describes it as "bacterial SSU rRNA". It matches the Rfam family "Bacterial small subunit ribosomal RNA", at positions 825 to 1500 of the family's 1533-position model. Lineage: Bacteria; Pseudomonadati; Pseudomonadota; Betaproteobacteria. The record is from RNAcentral.
GGGGCCUUCGGGCCUUAGUAGCGCAGCUAACGCGUGAAGUUGACCGCCUGGGGAGUACGGUCGCAAGAUUAAAACUCAAAGGAAUUGACGGGGACCCGCACAAGCGGUGGAUGAUGUGGAUUAAUUCGAUGCAACGCGAAAAACCUUACCUACCCUUGACAUGUCUGGAAUCCCGAAGAGAUUUGGGAGUGCUCGCAAGAGAACUGGAACACAGGUGCUGCAUGGCUGUCGUCAGCUCGUGUCGUGAGAUGUUGGGUUAAGUCCCGCAACGAGCGCAACCCUUGUCAUUAGUUGCUACGAAAGGGCACUCUAAUGAGACUGCCGGUGACAAACCGGAGGAAGGUGGGGAUGACGUCAAGUCCUCAUGGCCCUUAUGGGUAGGGCUUCACACGUCAUACAAUGGUCGGGACAGAGGGUCGCCAACCCGCGAGGGGGAGCCAAUCCCAGAAACCCGAUCGUAGUCCGGAUCGUAGUCUGCAACUCGACUACGUGAAGUCGGAAUCGCUAGUAAUCGCGGAUCAGCAUGUCGCGGUGAAUACGUUCCCGGGUCUUGUACACACCGCCCGUCACACCAUGGGAGUGGGUUUCACCAGAAGUAGUUAGCCUAACCGCAAGGGGGGCGAUUACCACGGUGGGGUUCAUGAUCUGGGGUGAAGUCGUAACAAGUACC